Vidua chalybeata is the source of this 346-nucleotide long non-coding RNA. RefSeq lists it as uncharacterized. The transcript has 3 exons. NCBI's taxonomy places the organism in Eukaryota, Metazoa, Chordata, Aves, Passeriformes, Viduidae. The record is from RefSeq and is a predicted model, not a curated record.
CAACAAGAGAACACAAUAAUUAAGAAGAACAUUAUGAAGAUGAGUGACUGGUUAACAAAAUGGCAUAUAAAAAUCCAUUGCAGGAACAGCAAACAAGAUAACAUGAGAUCAUCAGACCACUUGCUGCCUGGAAAAAAUGAAUCUUUGUAGAAGAAACCUAGCAAAAAUUCUCUUUAUAGAGCCAUCCCAUACAAAACAUGUCAUAUGAAUUGAACAAGAGUUCCCUGCAGAACUUGACUAUAAACCAAGGUGUUCCUGCAGCAGCUCAUACCUUGGAGAUUUGGAGACAGAGAAAGUGAUUGGGAAGUCUCAGAAGAGAUUCUUUUAAAGCUGGUUGACUCUACGA